GGGUGAGGAGAGCGAGGGGAGUGUUAGGGAGCGCGGCGGCGUGUGUGUCUCCGCUCUACGGAGCACGAACUUGGGGGGAGUGUCGGAGAGGAUGGAAGCAAGCGAGGACCGAGGCGGUUCGGCGCGGCGACGGUACGGAGCCACGAUCGGAAGGUACAGGGGAACCGGGGCUGCGGCGGGAGACGGAGGUUGGCGGCCGCGGAGCAGCAGGAAGCACGCGGGCGCGGGUUCCUUAGCGGCGGUUGGUCUCGUUGGAGCGGCAGCGGGCUUCGACGGAGCGGCCUGGCGAAGGAGUGGCCUAGAGGAGGGGAGGCAGCGAGCAGGGGUAGGAGGAGGUGCGACCUGCGGUAGCUC
Molecule: ribosomal RNA, 354 nt
Filed under: Triticum aestivum (bread wheat)
Lineage: Eukaryota; Viridiplantae; Streptophyta; Magnoliopsida; Poales; Poaceae
Description: partial small subunit ribosomal RNA
Source: RNAcentral